GAUGAACGCUGGCGGUCUGCCUAACACAUGCAAGUCGAACGGAAUCCUUCGGGAUUUAGUGGCGGACGGGUGAGUAACGCGUGAGAAUCUGCCUUCAGGUUCGGGACAACAGCUGGAAACGGCUGCUAAUACCGGAUGUGCCGAGAGGUGAAAGCUUUAGUGCCUGAAGAUGAGCUCGCGUCUGAUUAGCUAGUAGGAGUGGUAAUGGCACCCCUAGGCGACGAUCAGUAGCUGGGCUGAGAGGAUGAUCAGCCACACUGGGACUGAGACACGGCCCAGACUCCUACGGGAGGCAGCAGUGGGGAAGUUUCCGCAAUGGACGGAAGCCUGACGGGGCAAGACCGCGUGAGGGAAGAAGGUCUGUGGAUUGUAAACCUCUUUUGAUGGGGAAGAAGACAGUGACGGUACUCAUCGAAUCAGCCUCGGCUAACUCCGUGCCAGCCGCCGCCGUAA
This 453-nucleotide ribosomal RNA is filed under the name uncultured bacterium. RNAcentral's name for it is "partial 16S ribosomal RNA". It matches the Rfam family "Bacterial small subunit ribosomal RNA", at positions 28 to 523 of the family's 1533-position model. The record is from RNAcentral.